CUCGUAUUAAGCGCGUUUAGCUCAGCGGGAGAGCGCUUCCCUGACACGGAAGAGGUCACUGGUUCAAUCCC
This 71-nucleotide transfer RNA is filed under the name Corynebacterium pseudotuberculosis. RNAcentral describes it as "tRNA-Cys". The stretch from base 11 to 71 matches the Rfam family "tRNA", at positions 1 to 60 of the family's 71-position model. From Rfam's summary of the family: Transfer RNA (tRNA) molecules are approximately 80 nucleotides in length. Their secondary structure includes four short double-helical elements and three loops (D, anti-codon, and T loops). Further hydrogen bonds mediate the characteristic L-shaped molecular structure. tRNAs have two regions of fundamental functional importance: the anti-codon, which is responsible for specific mRNA codon recognition, and the 3' end, to which the tRNAs corresponding amino acid is attached (by aminoacyl-tRNA synthetases). tRNAs cope with the degeneracy of the genetic code in two manners: having more than one tRNA (with a specific anti-codon) for a particular amino acid; and 'wobble' base-pairing, i.e. permitting non-standard base-pairing at the 3rd anti-codon position. The record is from RNAcentral. Lineage: Bacteria; Bacillati; Actinomycetota; Actinomycetes; Mycobacteriales; Corynebacteriaceae.